RNAcentral lists this ribosomal RNA (518 nucleotides) under uncultured bacterium. Its description in RNAcentral is "bacterial SSU rRNA". It matches the Rfam family "Bacterial small subunit ribosomal RNA", at positions 8 to 518 of the family's 1533-position model. The record is from RNAcentral.
AGAGUUUGAGUUAUGGCUCAGGAUGAACGCUAGCGGCAGGCUUAACACAUGCAAGUCGAGGGGUAACGGGCGUAGCAAUACGCUGCCGACGACCGGCGCACGGGUGCGUAACGCGUAUGCAACCUACCUGUAACAGGGGGAUAACGGAGAGAAAUUUCCACUAAUACCCCAUAUUGUCAUUCCUUCGCAUGUUGGGAUGACGAAAGCUUCGGUGGUUACGGAUGGGCAUGCGUGACAUUAGCUAGUUGGCGGGGCAACGGCCCACCAAGGCGACGAUGUCUAGGGGAGCUGAGAGGCUUAUCCCCCACACUGGUACUGAGACACGGACCAGACUCCUACGGGAGGCAGCAGUGAGGAAUAUUGGUCAAUGGACGGAAGUCUGAACCAGCCAUGCCCGCGUGGAGGAAGAAGGUCCUAUGGGUUGUAAACUCCUUUUGUCCGAGAGUAAUAAGGUCCUUGCGAGGGCCGAUGAGAGUAUCGGGCGAAUAAGCAUCGGCUAACUCCGUGCCAGCCGCCGC